GUCUCCCCUCUUGGCGAACACCGGGAGCAAAGCCAUCACUGUCUUGUAGAAUAGCUUCCGGUCCUUGAAAGGAAUCUCGAAAGCUUCGUCCAGCUUCUUGAGCGCGCUUUAGAUCUGCGAAGUUUCAACGUAGCCAGAGACCAGAAAGUUGUAGGGAAGAAAGCAGCUCUUGCCGAUGUGCUUCUCCAUGAGCUUCUCCGCCUGGUCCAUCAUCUUGAGCCUCA
This 224-nucleotide long non-coding RNA is filed under the name Selaginella moellendorffii. RNAcentral's name for it is "long non-coding RNA (SMOE_LNC000753)". Lineage: Eukaryota; Viridiplantae; Streptophyta; Lycopodiopsida; Selaginellales; Selaginellaceae. The record is from RNAcentral.